Molecule: long non-coding RNA, 977 nt
Filed under: Mus musculus (house mouse)
Lineage: Eukaryota; Metazoa; Chordata; Mammalia; Rodentia; Muridae
Description: predicted gene 45463
Source: RNAcentral
CUGGGUGGAUAUCUGAAUGGAUGGAUGGUCCUAUAGUAUAUGGUCAUAUUGAUGAAUUGGAUGGGCUCAUGCAUAGAGUGAUAAUGAACAGGUUUCCCUCAUUAUUCCUCACAGGACUCUCCUGUGCAUGGGACAUUUGCACAGGACAUUUGCACAGGACAUUUGCACAUGCUGUUUCUUCUUGGGAUAUCCUCUGCUCACCAGGUUCCCUGCCACCUUGAGGAAAGGUCUGAAGCAAGAUCAUCUCAGAAUGAAGAGCAGCAAAGGCUGGAGGGCAAUGGCAUACUGAAGAACCUACUGACUCCAUUGUAUCUUCUGUCCAAAGGGUCACCUUCUCCAGAUGCCCACCUCUAUCCUGUGGCCUGCAACUAGCAGCCUGCCCCAUCCUCUAUCCUGUGACCCGGAACUAGCAGCCUGCCCCAUCCUCUAUCCUGUGACCCGGAACUAGCAGCCUGCCCCAUCCUCUGUCCUGUGACCCGGAACUAGCAGCCUGCCCCAUCCUCUGUCCUGUGACCUGGAACUAUCAACCUGCCCCAUCCUCUGUCCUGUGACCUGGAACUAGCAGCCUGCCCCAUCCUCUAUCCUGUAACCUGGAACUAGCAGCCUGCCCCAUCCUCUAUCCUGUGACCCGGAACUAGCAGCCUGCCCCAUCCUCUGUCCUGUGACCAGUAACUAGCAGCCUGCCCCAUCCUCUAUCCUGUGACCUGGAACUAGCAGCCUGCCCAUCUUUGGGCCUUUGUUUAUAUGGAAAUGCUGACUCACUGAGCCAUCAGUUCUUGCCAAAGGCAACCAAGGAAAGAAACAAAUUAUAGCCAAGUCCCAGAUGUUUGGCAAAGGAAAUACUUCUGGGAUUGUCCCAGACUGCAUCCCACAUACCUUCAUCAUGGGACCAUGAAAGUGUUCACAGAUGGACCCUGAUGUACUUGGAAGAGCACACAUUUGUUCCAAGUCCUUAUUAAAAAACAUGGUUUGAAGAU